RNAcentral lists this ribosomal RNA (242 nucleotides) under uncultured bacterium. Its description in RNAcentral is "partial 16S ribosomal RNA". It matches the Rfam family "Bacterial small subunit ribosomal RNA", at positions 1259 to 1500 of the family's 1533-position model. The record is from RNAcentral.
GAAGGUGAGCAAAUCCCAAAAAUAACGUCCCAGUUCGGAUUGUAGUCUGCAACCCGACUACAUGAAGCUGGAAUCGCUAGUAAUCGCGGAUCAGAAUGCCGCGGUGAAUACGUUCCCGGGUCUUGUACACACCGCCCGUCACACCAUGGGAGUCGGAAAUGCCCGAAGUCUGUGACCUAACCGUAAGGAAGGAGCAGCCGAAGGCAGGUCGGAUGACUGGGGUGAAGUCGUAACAAGGUAAC